This 317-nucleotide ribosomal RNA is filed under the name uncultured Cortinarius. Its description in RNAcentral is "eukaryotic LSU rRNA". The stretch from base 1 to 71 matches the Rfam family "5.8S ribosomal RNA", at positions 84 to 154 of the family's 154-position model. Lineage: Eukaryota; Fungi; Basidiomycota; Agaricomycetes; Agaricales; Cortinariaceae. The record is from RNAcentral.
GUGAGUCAUCGAAUCUUUGAACGCACCUUGCGCUCCUUGGUAUUCCGAGGAGCAUGCCUGUUUGAGUGUCAUUAAUAUAUAAUCAACCCUCUUGUUUGAGUGGCUUGGAUGUGGGGGCUUGCUGGCCUCUUAAAAGGUUCAGCUCCCCUGAAAUGCAUUAGUGGAACGACCUGUUCAUUCAUUGGUGUGAUAACUAUCUACGCUAUUGAACGUGAGGCAGUUCAGCUUUCUAACUGUCCUUGGACAAUUCAUUGUUGUAUGUGACCUCAAAUCAGGUAGGACUACCCGCUGAACUUAAGCAUAUCAAUAAGCGGAGG